GUUAGUUGAUGCCAUUUUACCUGGAUGGGGACAGAGGGUAACUGAAGUCUGAGGCAGUCCUGAAGAUGAGUGUUUGUGAGGAGGAAGAGGACGGAGCAGAGUCUCCAGGAUCCAUCUGUCCGUCUUUGGAGAGUGACUCUGAGGUGGAAGUGAUGACCUACAUAAAGGUGAAGAGGACAGUGUGUGUGUGUGUGUGUGUGUCUGUCUGUGACUCCAGAGGGAAUGAGAAGAAGUGCAGAUGACUGUGCUGCAGUCUGAACUGAUCUGAGAACAGUCCACCAUCAUCCCCAUUUCAAUCUGAAAUGACUUUAGCUCUGAAGAGGAGUUUGACUCGAGCUCCUCUCAAACUCUCCGAUCUUACCAAUAAUCAGAAAUCAGGUAAUCAAACUCAGACUGAGAUCCUUCUCAUUCUGGUCUCCAGUCCGGUCCUGGUCCUUUAUCCACUAAUGUCACAGCAGCUGUCAGAACCUGGAUGUGAUCUUUCACACCAACAAAGUCAUCCAUUCAUGCCUCUAUCAUCUGAGGAACAAUGUAAAGUAUCAUUCAUGCCUUCAUUUCCUGGUGAUUUGGAUUAUUGAUCUUUCAUCUUAAAUCAGAAAUCAAUCAAUAAGCUCCGAGUUGUUCAGUUUGGCAGUGGGACAGAGAACAUGUUACUCUGUGCCCUUUUGUUUUUGGACUGAUUUCCAGAUGAUUUUACUUGACCCUAUAAAAUCCUUCAGAAUAAAUAUCUGAACUGGGUUCCUCUUACCAACCAGUCACAGCCUGAGAUCCUCAGACAGGAACCUGCUGAUUGUUCCCACCUGACGGUCAAAGACUGAAGGGAACCGAGCUCCUCGGCUGUGGAACGACCUCUCUGAAGAACUCCAGCUCGCCACAUCAGCGUCUUCUUUUAAAUCCCCAUCAAGACUUACCUACUUCAAAAGGUUUUCUUAUGAUCUUUUCUGUAUAUUUCAAUCCACUGGUUGUUUUUUCAUUUUACUUUACUUUUGUUUAUUCAUGAAUGACUGUGUUUUAUUGUUUGUUGUAAAGCUCUGGUUUCCAUCAGUCCUAUAGAAAUAAACUUUAUUCUUAUUCAGGUUAGUUAAUGAAAAUGUGAGCCUGAUGCUUCAUACAGGACAUCUGGCUGCAGGUCAACUGAAGUCUUCAGGUUGUUAAAACACAGGUGUUAUGAUCAGAGCACAGGUAAGACGCCUCCUGAAAAACAUGCUGUAAACAGUUGGUUUUUAUUUUUGGCCUGUUAGCGGGGCCAGUCAUCGUUAGCCUAGCAGACACUAAGGCUGUGUCUGAGAUCACUCAGUACUCCCUCUAUAGUCCACUAUAUACUGACUUUUCCAUUUUGUAGUGCUGUCCGAAUGUAUAGUGAGAAUUAUUAUACCCCAUAUAGUUGACUCGUAGUAUCCCACAAUGCAUCGUGAGAAGUAGUGCAUGUGCUCACGCUCAGAGACAGAAACAGUGUCGGAAAGUGUUUCUUCAUUUCGCAGUAAGCUCACUAUAGAGUCUCUACAUGAAACUCCCUGGAUAGUGAGUAGACAUUUAUAGACAAGAUGUUACCACUAACUUUCAUUAACUGAAAACACAGAGUAAGGUCGAUGCCCAGAUGCAUCGAUCCGUUCGUGUGGCACAGUCUGUCAAUCACCCAUUAGCCACGCCCCAAAGCUCGCCCUGUUUUAUCGUCUCUUUUCCUCUAAACGGGAGAGUAAUUUUAAAAAUGAACAUCGUGUUGU
This is a long non-coding RNA of Seriola dumerili (greater amberjack), 1724 nucleotides long. RefSeq lists it as uncharacterized. Lineage: Eukaryota; Metazoa; Chordata; Actinopteri; Carangiformes; Carangidae. The record is from RefSeq and is a predicted model, not a curated record. The transcript has 3 exons.